This 388-nucleotide long non-coding RNA is filed under the name Androctonus crassicauda. Lineage: Eukaryota; Metazoa; Arthropoda; Arachnida; Scorpiones; Buthidae. The record is from RNAcentral.
UAAUUAUUGUAUUCUAACAUCAGAUCAGCGGUAAAAUAUUUAGAAUAGAUGAUGUCAAGAGCUAAGAGAGUUUGUCAGGAGACAGACUUCCGAUCCGUAACUCAUAAUUCUAAUUGAUGAGACAGAACGUGAAAGGUGAGUUAACUCUUAAACUAAAAACAUAUGUUAACUCUGACCUAUUCUAUUAUUAUUUAACUCCUUCACAAUUUAUGAGAAUUUGCAUACAUUAUAAAAUGCAAUGUUUGCCUGUCUUUCUGUUCCACAUUAGUUCCCACACCAUUUGGCCUGUCAGGACCAAACUUUAUGGGCUGACUUCCCAUUACUCUGCAGUAACAUAGGAUACCCAAAAUCAAAAUUGACUCAGAUGAUAAGGCAAAUUCAAAUCAUG